CCCCCCACCAAGCCUCUGCCUCCCGACCCCCCCACCCCCACCAAACAGCUGCUGGUGACUCGACCAGCUCCGCCCAACAAGCCCCUCCCCCCUGACCCCGUCACACCUGCUCAGGUUUCUGUUCCACUGAAACCUGUGGUGCCCAAGAAGCCACGCCCCCCAGCCACGCCCCAUAAACCUUACCUGCCACCUCACUCGGGCCUCCUGCCGCCCGCCGGCUUCACCUCCAGCAGCAAACCUGCCGCGCACGGAGCCGUCGCACCUGCAGCGGGUCCAUACAGGUAUGACCAUUCACU
Long non-coding RNA from Nematolebias whitei (Rio pearlfish), 296 nucleotides. RefSeq lists it as uncharacterized. The transcript is spliced from 3 exons. The record is from RefSeq and is a predicted model, not a curated record. Lineage: Eukaryota; Metazoa; Chordata; Actinopteri; Cyprinodontiformes; Rivulidae.